UUCCGGUUGAUCCUGCCGGAGGCCAUUGCUAUCGGAGUCCGAUUUGGCCAUGCUAGUCGCGCGAGUUCAGACUCGCGGCACCGAGCUCAGUAACACGUGGCCAAACUACCCUACAGAGACGGAUACCCUCGGGAAACUGAGGUUAACCCGUCAUACCGAUCUCAGGCUUGAAUCGCAGAGAUCACAAAACGCCCCGGCGCUGUAGGAUGUGGCUGCGGUUGAUUAGGUAGACGGUGGGGUAACGGCCCACCGUGCCCAUAAUCAGUACAGGUUGUGAGAGCAAGAACCUGGAGACGGAAUCUGAGACAAGAUUCCGGGCCCUACGGGGCGCAGCAGGCGCGAAACCUUUACACUGCACGCACGUGCGAUAAGGGGACUCCGAGUGCGAGGGCAUAUCGUCCUCGCUUUCGUGUACCGUAGGGCGGUACACCAACAAGGGCUGAGCAAGACCGGUGCCAGCCGCCGCGGUAAUACCGGCAGCCCGAGUGAUGGCCGAUCUUAUUGGGCCUAAAGCGUCCGUAGCUGGCUGCGCAAGUCCGUCGGGAAAUCCACUCGCCCAACGAGUGGGCGUCCGACGGAAACUGCACAGCUUGGGACCGGAAGGCUCGAAGGGUACGUUCGGGGUAGGAGUGAAAUCCCAUAAUCCCGCACGGACCACCGAUGGCGAAAGCACUUCGAGAAAACGGAUCCGACAGUGAGGGACGAAAGCCAGGGUCUCCAACCGGAUUAGAUACCCGGGUAGUC
Molecule: ribosomal RNA, 744 nt
Filed under: uncultured archaeon
Lineage: Archaea
Description: bacterial SSU rRNA
Rfam family: Archaeal small subunit ribosomal RNA
Source: RNAcentral